RNAcentral lists this ribosomal RNA (916 nucleotides) under Acinetobacter sp. RNAcentral's name for it is "bacterial SSU rRNA". It matches the Rfam family "Bacterial small subunit ribosomal RNA", at positions 1 to 886 of the family's 1533-position model. The record is from RNAcentral. Lineage: Bacteria; Pseudomonadati; Pseudomonadota; Gammaproteobacteria; Moraxellales; Moraxellaceae.
GGUCGCAAUUAGCAGAGAACCAGAGGAACCACUACAGAGUUGGAUCUGGCUCAGAUUGAACGCUGGCGGCAGGCUUAACACAUGCAAGUCGAGCGGAGAUGAGGUGCUUGCACUUAUCUUAGCGGCGGACGGGUGAGUAAUGCUUAGGAAUCUGCCUAUUAGUGGGGGACAACAUUCCGAAAGGAAUGCUAAUACCGCAUACGUCUACGGGAGAAAGCAGGGGAUCUUCGGACCUUGCGCUAAUAGAUGAGCCUAAGUCGGAUUAGCUAGUUGGUGGGGUAAAGGCCUACCAAGGCGACGAUCUGUAGCGGGUCUGAGAGGAUGAUCCGCCACACUGGGACUGAGACACGGCCCAGACUCCUACGGGAGGCAGCAGUGGGGAAUAUUGGACAAUGGGGGGAACCCUGAUCCAGCCAUGCCGCGUGUGUGAAGAAGGCCUUAUGGUUGUAAAGCACUUUAAGCGAGGAGGAGGCUACUGAGACUAAUACUCUUGGAUAGUGGACGUUACUCGCAGAAUAAGCACCGGCUAACUCUGUGCCAGCAGCCGCGGUAAUACAGAGGGUGCGAGCGUUAAUCGGAUUUACUGGGCGUAAAGCGUGCGUAGGCGGCUUUUUAAGUCGGAUGUGAAAUCCCCGAGCUUAACUUGGGAAUUGCAUUCGAUACUGGGAAGCUAGAGUAUGGGAGAGGAUGGUAGAAUUCCAGGUGUAGCGGUGAAAUGCGUAGAGAUCUGGAGGAAUACCGAUGGCGAAGGCAGCCAUCUGGCCUAAUACUGACGCUGAGGUACGAAAGCAUGGGGAGCAAACAGGAUUAGAUACCCUGGUAGUCCAUGCCGUAAACGAUGUCUACUAGCCGUUGGGGCCUUUGAGGCUUUAGUGGCGCAGCUAACGCGAUAAGUAGACCGCCUGGGGAGAUCGUG